Molecule: ribosomal RNA, 375 nt
Filed under: uncultured bacterium
Lineage: Bacteria
Description: bacterial SSU rRNA
Rfam family: Bacterial small subunit ribosomal RNA
Source: RNAcentral
UACGAAGGGGGCUAGCGUUGCUCGGAAUGACUGGGCGUAAAGGGCGCGUAGGCGGAACAUACAGUCAGAUGUGAAAUUCCCGGGCUCAACCUGGGGGCUGCAUUUGAUACGUGUGAUCUAGAGUGAGGAAGAGGGUCGUGGAAUUCCCAGUGUAGAGGUGAAAUUCGUAGAUAUUGGGAAGAACACCGGUGGCGAAGGCGGCGACCUGGUCCUUUACUGACGCUGAGGCGCGAAAGCGUGGGGAGCAAACAGGAUUAGAUACCCUGGUAGUCCACGCUGUAAACGAUGUGUGCUGGAUGUUGGGCAACCUAGUUGCUCAGUGUCGUAGCUAACGCGAUAAGCACACCGCCUGGGGAGUACGGCCGCAAGGUUGAA